RNAcentral lists this transfer RNA (72 nucleotides) under Candidatus Terrybacteria bacterium RIFCSPHIGHO2_01_FULL_58_15. Its description in RNAcentral is "tRNA-Ala". It matches the Rfam family "tRNA". Rfam says of the family: Transfer RNA (tRNA) molecules are approximately 80 nucleotides in length. Their secondary structure includes four short double-helical elements and three loops (D, anti-codon, and T loops). Further hydrogen bonds mediate the characteristic L-shaped molecular structure. tRNAs have two regions of fundamental functional importance: the anti-codon, which is responsible for specific mRNA codon recognition, and the 3' end, to which the tRNAs corresponding amino acid is attached (by aminoacyl-tRNA synthetases). tRNAs cope with the degeneracy of the genetic code in two manners: having more than one tRNA (with a specific anti-codon) for a particular amino acid; and 'wobble' base-pairing, i.e. permitting non-standard base-pairing at the 3rd anti-codon position. Lineage: Bacteria; Candidatus Terryibacteriota. The record is from RNAcentral. RNAcentral also lists the same sequence under 1 other name.
GGGGCAGUAGCUCAGUGGUAGAGUACUGCAUUUGCAAUGCAGGGGUCGCGGGUUCGAAUCCCGCCUGCUCCA